This is a non-coding RNA of Bacteroides stercoris CC31F, 88 nucleotides long. The record is from Rfam. Lineage: Bacteria; Pseudomonadati; Bacteroidota; Bacteroidia; Bacteroidales; Bacteroidaceae.
GGAGAGGUGCUCGAGUGGUUGAAGAGGCACGCCUGGAAAGCGUGUAUACCCCAAAAGGGUAUCCGGGGUUCGAAUCCCCGUCUCUCCG